RNAcentral lists this microRNA (19 nucleotides) under Corchorus olitorius. RNAcentral describes it as "cin-miR-4145-". Lineage: Eukaryota; Viridiplantae; Streptophyta; Magnoliopsida; Malvales; Malvaceae. The record is from RNAcentral.
AUGGGAAUUGUUGAUGUGG